GAUCAUCUCUUGGUAAAACGAAAAAUCUUCAGAUCCCAUAACUGGUUGCAUUUCCUUGACCUUGUCAAUGCCAAGCAUAUCUCCUGCAACAUUUUGGAAGUGUUCAUGCAGCUCUUUAUCGUUCACAGUUGGUGGGAAAAUAGGUUUAUCAUUCUCCAAAAAAUCAACGGUUGCAUUGCACCUAUGCACGAUAGCUUGUCCGGUGAUAACCUCUUUAAUACGUUGCUUGAGUUGAAUCAUGCUAUCCUUCAAGAAAGCUCGGAAAGUGCCACCUAUUGUAACAGAAUCUGGAAUUACAUUGAAC
Molecule: unclassified non-coding RNA, 304 nt
Filed under: Hevea brasiliensis (rubber tree)
Lineage: Eukaryota; Viridiplantae; Streptophyta; Magnoliopsida; Malpighiales; Euphorbiaceae
Source: RNAcentral